RNAcentral lists this ribosomal RNA (314 nucleotides) under uncultured bacterium. RNAcentral describes it as "partial 16S ribosomal RNA". It matches the Rfam family "Bacterial small subunit ribosomal RNA", at positions 495 to 807 of the family's 1533-position model. The record is from RNAcentral.
GUAUAAGAGACAGCAGUCGCCACGGGAAUACAGAGGGUGCGAGCGUUAAUCGGAUUUACUGGGCGUAAAGCGUGCGUAGGCGGCUUCUUAAGUCGGAUGUGAAAUCCCUGAGCUUAACUUAGGAAUUGCAUUCGAUACUGGGAAGCUAGAGUAUGGGAGAGGAUGGUAGAAUUCCAGGUGUAGCGGUGAAAUGCGUAGAGAUCUGGAGGAAUACCGAUGGCGAAGGCAGCCAUCUGGCCUAAUACUGACGCUGAGGUACGAAAGCAUGGGGAGCAAACAGGAUUAGAUACCCCUGUAGUCCCUGUCUCUUAUAC